RNAcentral lists this ribosomal RNA (301 nucleotides) under uncultured bacterium. RNAcentral describes it as "partial 16S ribosomal RNA". It matches the Rfam family "Bacterial small subunit ribosomal RNA", at positions 509 to 807 of the family's 1533-position model. The record is from RNAcentral.
CAGUAGCCGCGGUAACACGUAGGUGGCAAGCGUUGUCCGGAAUUAUUGGGCGUAAAGCGCGCGCAGGUGGUUUAAUAAGUCUGAUGUGAAAGCCCACGGCUCAACCGUGGAGGGUCAUUGGAAACUGUUAAACUUGAGUGCAGGAGAGAAAAGUGGAAUUCCUAGUGUAGCGGUGAAAUGCGUAGAGAUUAGGAGGAACACCAGUGGCGAAGGCGGCUUUUUGGCCUGUAACUGACACUGAGGCGCGAAAGCGUGGGGAGCAAACAGGAUUAGAUACCCCUGUAGUCCCUGUCUCUUAUAC